This 117-nucleotide non-coding RNA is filed under the name Pan troglodytes (chimpanzee). Lineage: Eukaryota; Metazoa; Chordata; Mammalia; Primates; Hominidae. The record is from Rfam by way of RNAcentral.
GCCAGGCAUGGUGGCUCAUGCCUGUAAUCCCAGCACUUUGGGAGGCUGAGGUGGGUGGAUCACUUGAGGCCAGGAGUUCAAGACCAGCCUGGCCAACAUAGUGAAACCUCGUCUCUA